GUCGAACGGUAACAUAAAGAAGCUUGCUUCUUUGAUGACGAGUGGCGGACGGGUGAGUAAUGCUUGGGAAUCUAGCUUAUGGAGGGGGAUAACUACGGGAAACUGUAGCUAAUACCGCGUAAUAUCGAAAGAUUAAAGUGUGGGACCUUCGGGCCACAUGCCAUAGGAUGAGCCCAAGUGGGAUUAGGUAGUUGGUGAGGUAAAGGCUCACCAAGCCGACGAUCUCUAGCUGGUCUGAGAGGAUGACCAGCCACACUGGGACUGAGACACGGCCCAGACUCCUACGGGAGGCAGCAGUGGGGAAUAUUGCGCAAUGGGGGCAACCCUGACGCAGCCAUGCCGCGUGAAUGAAGAAGGCCUUCGGGUUGUAAAGUUCUUUCGGUAGCGAGGAAGGCAUUUAGUUUAAUAAACUAGGUGAUUGACGUUAACUACAGAAGAAGCACCGGCUAACUCCGUGCCAGCAGCCGCGGUAAUGCGGAGGGUGCGAGCGUUAAUCGGAAUAACUGGGCGUAAAGGGCACGCAGGCGGUGACUUAAGUGAGGUGUGAAAGCCCCGGGCUUAACCUGGGAAUUGCAUUUCAUACUGGGUCGCUAGAGUACUUUAGGGAGGGGUAGAAUUCCACGUGUAGCGGUGAAAUGCGUAGAGAUGUGGAGGAAUACCGAAGGCGAAGGCAGCCCCUUGGGAAUGUACUGACGCUCAUGUGCGAAAGCGUGGGGAGCAAACAG
This 725-nucleotide ribosomal RNA is filed under the name uncultured bacterium. RNAcentral describes it as "bacterial SSU rRNA". It matches the Rfam family "Bacterial small subunit ribosomal RNA", at positions 61 to 775 of the family's 1533-position model. The record is from RNAcentral.